CCCACACACAGACACACAUGCACACACACCACACACGUGCGCACAUACCACACACAUGCAUGCACACACACACAGUGCACACACGUGUGCACACACACAGACACACAUGCACACACAUGCGUGCAUGCACACUCUUCAGUCACAGCUCCCAGACAGACACACAUGCACACACAUGCGUGCAUGCACACUCUUCAGUCACAGCUCCCAGACAGUGGUGGCAUCAUCCUCUCA
This 231-nucleotide long non-coding RNA is filed under the name Homo sapiens (human). Its description in RNAcentral is "non-protein coding lnc-CMPK2-21:2". Lineage: Eukaryota; Metazoa; Chordata; Mammalia; Primates; Hominidae. The record is from RNAcentral.